This 253-nucleotide ribosomal RNA is filed under the name uncultured bacterium. RNAcentral describes it as "partial 16S ribosomal RNA". It matches the Rfam family "Bacterial small subunit ribosomal RNA", at positions 524 to 776 of the family's 1533-position model. The record is from RNAcentral.
UACGGAGGGUGCAAGCGUUAUCCGGAUUCACUGGGUUUAAAGGGUGCGUAGGUGGGUUGGUAAGUCAGUGGUGAAAUCUCCGUGCUUAACAUGGAAACUGCCAUUGAUACUACUGAUCUUGAAUUUUCUGGAGGUAAGCGGAAUAUGUCAUGUAGCGGUGAAAUGCUUAGAUAUGACAUAGAACACCAAUUGCGAAGGCAGCUUACUACGGGAACAUUGACACUGAGGCACGAAAGCGUGGGGAUCAAACAGG